Molecule: long non-coding RNA, 711 nt
Organism: Cotesia glomerata
Lineage: Eukaryota; Metazoa; Arthropoda; Insecta; Hymenoptera; Braconidae
Exons: 3
Source: RefSeq, a predicted model, not a curated record
GAGCUCCGCUUUGAACAGGCUUCUGUUCUCACCUUCAUGCAAGUUUUCAGCCUGUUUUUUCGUUGAAAAAAAAAGUCGCCUAAAAUUUAAACACCCUAAUGGAGACCUUUGUGACGUAUCACAACUUAUUGCGUAGAUUUCAACCGAUAACAGAUUGCACACUAAGACUCAUUUAUAAAUCUUUUUCUAAAUUUAAAAUUGCCUCAAAGGUCGCCUGGGGUCCACUAGACUCCAUGUGUCCUCAACGGGUUAAUUAUCCAGAAAGAAGAUGCAAACCACUUAUCGCACAUAAAUUGAUAUAAAAAAUAACAAACGCAGUGGGACAGCGUAUAAAAGCUCGAGAAAAAUAUUCCUGAUGUCAUAUUAUCAAAAACUUUUUCUUUCUACACAAAUAACUCAAUAUUGAAGAAAAUAAAAGCCAUGUUGAAGACAAUAUUACUUAUGUUACUAAUAUACUUCGCGGUUGGAAGUUCAAUUCAUUAUCCGGCAAGAAAAUGCAAACCACUGCACAUAUUUUGUGACAAUAGUUCAGAAUGUUGCUCCAAAGUUUGUGACAUCAAAGAUACAGGCGUAAAAUUAUGUUCAAAGACAGAAAAUAGUUCUUUAACUACUAAUCAACAAGAAAAAUCAACUACACGGCCAUGUAAAGCUUACAAAGUAUCUAAAGCAACAUUUGAUUGCAGUUAAAUUUAUUUAAUAAACAGCUUAUUA